This 405-nucleotide ribosomal RNA is filed under the name uncultured bacterium. RNAcentral describes it as "bacterial SSU rRNA". It matches the Rfam family "Bacterial small subunit ribosomal RNA", at positions 355 to 776 of the family's 1533-position model. The record is from RNAcentral.
UGGGGAAUAUUGGACAAUGGGGGAAACCCUGAUCCAGCAAUGCCGCGUGAGUGAUGAAGGCCCUCGGGUUGUAAAGCUCUUUUAUAGGAGACGAUAAUGACGGUAUCCUAUGAAUAAGAUCCGGCUAACUUCGUGCCAGCAGCCGCGGUAAUACGAAGGGAUCGAGCGUUGUUCGGAAUUACUGGGCGUAAAGGGUGUGUAGGCGGUUGUGAAAGUUUGAUGUGAAAGACCUGGGCUUAACUUGGGAAUGGCAUCGAAAACUUCAUGACUUGAGAGCGAGAGAGGAAAAUGGAAUUGCGCGUGUAGAGGUGGAAUUCGUAGAUAUGCGCAAGAACACCAGUGGCGAAGGCGAUUUUCUGGCUCGAUUUCUGACGCUGAGGCACGAAAGCGUGGGGAGCAAACAGG